Molecule: ribosomal RNA, 426 nt
Filed under: uncultured bacterium
Lineage: Bacteria
Description: partial 16S ribosomal RNA
Rfam family: Bacterial small subunit ribosomal RNA
Source: RNAcentral
GUGAGGAAUUUUCCGCAAUGGGCGAAAGCCUGACGGAGCAAUGCCGCGUGAAGGAUGAAGGCCUAUGGGUUGUAAACUUCUUUUCUCAGAAAAGAAUUAUGACGGUAUCUGAGGAAUAAGCAUCGGCUAACUCUGUGCCAGCAGCCGCGGUAAGACAGUGGAUGCAAGCGUUAUCCGGAAUGAUUGGGCGUAAAGCGUCUGUAGGUUGUUUAAAAAGUAUUCUGUCAAAGAUUAGGGCUUAACCCUAGAUAGGCAGAAUAAACUUUUAAGCUAGAGUUUGGUAGAGGCAGAGGGAAUUCCCGGUGGAGCGGUGAAAUGCGUAGAUAUCGGGAGGAACACCAAAGGCGAAGGCACUCUGCUGGGCCAAUACUAACACUGAGAGACGAAAGCGAGGGGAGCAAAUGGGAUUAGAUACCCUAGUAGUCC